UUAAAUUGAAGAGUUUGAUCAUGGCUCAGAUUGAACGCUGGCGGCAGGCCUAACACAUGCAAGUCGAACGGUAACAGGAAGAAGCUUGCUUCUUUGCUGACGAGUGGCGGACGGGUGAGUAAUGUCUGGGAAACUGCCUGAUGGAGGGGGAUAACUACUGGAAACGGUAGCUAAUACCGCAUAACGUCGCAAGACCAAAGAGGGGGACCUUCGGGCCUCUUGCC
This 224-nucleotide ribosomal RNA is filed under the name Escherichia coli. RNAcentral describes it as "partial 16S ribosomal RNA". It matches the Rfam family "Bacterial small subunit ribosomal RNA", at positions 1 to 219 of the family's 1533-position model. Lineage: Bacteria; Pseudomonadati; Pseudomonadota; Gammaproteobacteria; Enterobacterales; Enterobacteriaceae. The record is from RNAcentral.